CUACGGCGGCUGCAGUGGGGAAUAUUGCACAAUGGGCGCAAGCCUGAUGCAGCCAUGCCGCGUGUAUGAAGAAGGCCUUCGGGUUGUAAAGUACUUUCAGCGGGGAGGAAGGGAGUAAAGUUAAUACCUUUGCUCAUUGACGUUACCCGCAGAAGAAGCACCGGCUAACUCCGUGCCAGCAGCCGCGGUAAUACGGAGGGUGCAAGCGUUAAUCGGAAUUACUGGGCGUAAAGCGCACGCAGGCGGUUUGUUAAGUCAGAUGUGAAAUCCCCGGGCUCAACCUGGGAACUGCAUCUGAUACUGGCAAGCUCGAGUCUCGUAGAGGGGGGUAGAAUUCCAGGUGUAGCGGUGAAAUGCGUAGAGAUCUGGAGGAAUACCGGUGGCGAAGGCGGCCCCCUGGACGAAGACUGACGCUCAGGUGCGAAAGCGUGGGGAGCAAACAGGAUUAGAUACCCGAGUAGUC
This 463-nucleotide ribosomal RNA is filed under the name uncultured bacterium. RNAcentral describes it as "partial 16S ribosomal RNA". It matches the Rfam family "Bacterial small subunit ribosomal RNA", at positions 339 to 795 of the family's 1533-position model. The record is from RNAcentral.